This 70-nucleotide transfer RNA is filed under the name Marmota monax (woodchuck). RNAcentral describes it as "tRNA.Ile". Lineage: Eukaryota; Metazoa; Chordata; Mammalia; Rodentia; Sciuridae. The record is from RNAcentral.
GGCUGGGGUUAGCUCAGUUGGUUAGAGCUUGGUGCUGAUAACGCCAAGGUCACGGGUUCCAGUCUGGCUG